Long non-coding RNA from Mytilus trossulus (common blue mussel), 401 nucleotides. RefSeq lists it as uncharacterized. The transcript is spliced from 3 exons. Lineage: Eukaryota; Metazoa; Mollusca; Bivalvia; Mytilida; Mytilidae. The record is from RefSeq and is a predicted model, not a curated record.
AAAAUAAGUGCACAUCCCCUGACUUGCAAACGCUCAUUUUAAUUCAAACUUUUGUGGGAUAUACUCAUACAAUUCUACGAAAGAAAAUCAAAACCGAUUGGAUAGAGGAAAAACCCGGAAAAGGUGAAUUUUGUUGUAGGCUGGAAUAAUUAUCAUACAACGGCUUCUAUUUUGCUGAAAGCAGUGAAGUAGCAUGUUCAAUUUUUAUAUCCAGUCGCUCGUACUGCAUACAUACUCUCCUAACACACCGACACACUGACUAAGCUGAUGAUACACUCAAGGAAUAACCGUCCACUGUAGAGGCAUCCUCCCCGUGGAAGAUAAUGGAAAUACCUGAGGUAUCACCCCAGUGCCAGAACUAAUAUUCCACCAGUUGCGGUAUUUUCCAAACGCCUGAAAUG